Molecule: long non-coding RNA, 465 nt
Organism: Ochotona princeps (American pika)
Lineage: Eukaryota; Metazoa; Chordata; Mammalia; Lagomorpha; Ochotonidae
Exons: 3
Source: RefSeq, a predicted model, not a curated record
GAGAGCCGGUAAUAAUACUCAUGGAGGAGGAAUAACUGUUGACUUCAGAGAGGGACUGCAGCGACUGUCAUCCCAGGCAGUAACUGAGCUUCUGGGCCUGUGUGAAUGUAAAGGCAGCUUGGACAUCACAUGCUGUUGAAGCAGCACAACGCUCUGACCAGAAGUUGAGUAGAUGCUGGUAUCAUGCUCUUGGACUUACAGAUCUUACACUACUCUCCAGAACUGCAUGUGCUCUUUUGCUUUUUGUCAUGAGGUGAAACAUCACCAGGCUGUCACCAAGGUCAUGGUCAUGGACUUCCAGUCUUCAGAACUGUGAGCUACAUCAACAUUUUUCUUUUGUUUUAAAAAUAAUCCAGUGUCAGAUAUUCUGUUAUUAGCAGCAGGAAAUGGAUUCAGACUCCAAUUACCUCAUUGGUAAGUCAAGAAUAUUGCUUCUUCUGUAAGGAUGUUUUAUUUAGAAGUGGU